AUGACAUAUUCAUCAAAGCCAACAUCUAGCACAACGCUACCCUGCAUUGUUGAGGAUGAGAUAAAAGAAUACCAGUCUAAUAAUAAUGUUGACAGAAAGAUGAUAGUGCAAGAAGAGCACACACACACACCAACACGAUUUCAUGUGUUUUUGAAGAAUUCCAGCUUGUUGGGAGAGACUAAAAAAAUGCUAUUAUUGAAGUCUUACAAGAACACGCUUCCACCUCACAAUUUCAGGCGAUCGCAGUGUGGGGAAUGGGUGGUCUUGGAAAAACCACUCUGUCAUGGUUCUAAGUCUGACAGUAGAAUGGGGGGUAGGUAUGGAGAGGCAAGAUCCUAG
Molecule: ribosomal RNA, 339 nt
Filed under: Triticum aestivum (bread wheat)
Lineage: Eukaryota; Viridiplantae; Streptophyta; Magnoliopsida; Poales; Poaceae
Description: partial small subunit ribosomal RNA
Source: RNAcentral